AUUUUUGGUGGUAAACGUCCAUAAACAACCUCGAAUGGAGUUGCUUUGAGAGAGGAGUGGUAGCCGGUAUUAUAACAAUAUUCCACCCAUGAUAACCUUUGGAACCAACGGUGAGGGCGGUCACUAGUGAAGCAACGGAGAUACAUUUCAAUAGUUCGGUUGACAACCUCAGUUUGUCCGUUACUUUGGGAAUGAUAAGCCGAG
Molecule: unclassified non-coding RNA, 204 nt
Filed under: Hevea brasiliensis (rubber tree)
Lineage: Eukaryota; Viridiplantae; Streptophyta; Magnoliopsida; Malpighiales; Euphorbiaceae
Source: RNAcentral